Molecule: ribosomal RNA, 462 nt
Filed under: uncultured Variovorax sp.
Lineage: Bacteria; Pseudomonadati; Pseudomonadota; Betaproteobacteria; Burkholderiales; Comamonadaceae
Description: bacterial SSU rRNA
Rfam family: Bacterial small subunit ribosomal RNA
Source: RNAcentral
GACGGGACCGCACAAGUGGUGGAUGAUGUGGUUUAAUUCGAUGCAACGCGAAAACCUUACCACCUUUGACAUGUACGGAAUCCUUUAGAGAUAGAGGAGUGCUCGAAAGAGAGCCGUAACACAGGUGCUGCAUGGCUGUCGUCAGCUCGUGUCGUGAGAUGUUGGGUUAAGUCCCGCAACGAGCGCAACCCUUAUCAUUAGUUGCUACGCAAGGGCACUCUAAUGAGACUGCCGGUGACAAACCGGAGGAAGGUGGGGAUGACGUCAAGUCCUCAUGGCCCUUAUGGGUAGGGCUUCACACGUCAUACAAUGGUCGGUACAGAGGGUUGCCAAGCCGCGAGGCGGAGCCAAUCCCACAAAGCCGAUCGUAGUCCGGAUUGUUCUCUGCAACUCGAGAGCAUGAAGUCGGAAUCGCUAGUAAUCGCAGGUCAGCAUACUGCGGUGAAUACGUUCCCGGGUCUU